Molecule: ribosomal RNA, 446 nt
Filed under: uncultured bacterium
Lineage: Bacteria
Description: partial 16S ribosomal RNA
Rfam family: Bacterial small subunit ribosomal RNA
Source: RNAcentral
CCUACGGGAGGCAGCAGUCGAGAAUCAUUCACAAUGGGGGAAACCCUGAUGGUGCGACGCCGCGUGGGGGAAUGAAGGUCUUCGGAUUGUAAACCCCUGUCAUGCGGGAGCAAAUUAAAAAGAUAGUACCACAAGAGGAAGAGACGGCUAACCCUGUGCCAGCAGCCGCGGUAAUACAGAGGUCUCAAGCGUUGUUCGGAACCACUGGGCGUAAAGCGUGCGUAGGAUGUUUCGUAAGUCGUGGGUGAAAGGCGGGGGCUCAACCCGCGGACUGCACAUGAUACUGCGAGACUAGAGUAAUGGAGGGGGAACCGGAAUGCUCGGUGUAGCAGUGAAAUGCGUAGAUAUCGAGAGGAACACUCGUGGCGAAGGCGGGUUCCUGGACAUUAACUGACGCUGAGGCACGAAGGCCAGGGGAGCGAAAGGGAUUAGAUACCCGGGUAGUC